UCCGCAUCAAAAUUGUGAAUAUAUAAUAAUUUGUGUAAUUUUAUUGACUUUAUUGCGUGCAAGUGCUUCCUCUACGUCGUCAUCAUGCAAUUUAAUUGUUAAAUUUUGUGGAGACAACUGUUUAGUAGCUUCAUUGAAGUAUAAGUAUACGUGCAGUUAUUUGUUGGGAAGCUGAAAUAAAUUUGGAUUAGUGAAGUGAAAAGCAAAUGAGCAAUAGUGAAUAUAGAAAUAUGCACAGCUGUUCUGUGUUUAUGUACUUUGACAAGAUUUUGAUUUCGCUUGUAAAUAAUUUUCUUAACCCUGAAAUUUAAAAUUGCAGAGUUAAAAUUGUAUAGCAUGCAAAUUUUCCUCCGACAUUGCAAAAUGUUUUGCAAAGAGUGAAAAUGCAAUAGUAAUGAUAGUAAACAAAUAAAAUAAAUAUCUAAUAUCAAAUGAAAAUAUG
Bactrocera neohumeralis is the source of this 442-nucleotide long non-coding RNA. RefSeq lists it as uncharacterized. NCBI's taxonomy places the organism in Eukaryota, Metazoa, Arthropoda, Insecta, Diptera, Tephritidae. The record is from RefSeq and is a predicted model, not a curated record. The transcript has 3 exons.